RNAcentral lists this long non-coding RNA (203 nucleotides) under Mytilus galloprovincialis (Mediterranean mussel). The record is from RNAcentral. Lineage: Eukaryota; Metazoa; Mollusca; Bivalvia; Mytilida; Mytilidae.
AGGGGCCUCAGCGGUGGCUUCACCAAUAUGAUUUCAAUAUGUUAUAGUUUGUGAUUAUGUUAGUUUAAGUGGAACCACUAAUAAUUUAUCAAUGAUAUUCCCUAUGCAGUUGUAUUAACAUUGGCAAAUUUCAUUUCCAUUGAAGUAAUUUGUCCAGGCCCUCUCAGACAUUGGCUAUUGAUUUUUAAACUUUUGCAUAGUUU